Molecule: long non-coding RNA, 2093 nt
Organism: Lemur catta (Ring-tailed lemur)
Lineage: Eukaryota; Metazoa; Chordata; Mammalia; Primates; Lemuridae
Exons: 4
Source: RefSeq, a predicted model, not a curated record
AGUUAAGUAACUUGCUUAAGGUUUCCAGCUAGUAAAUGGUGGAGCCUGAAUUUAAACCCUGGUUGGUCUGACCAUUUGUGACCUUAUAUAUAAAGAGAUUUCACAGGGCUUUAUUGAGUAUGUUGGCCAUACCGCAGCUGGCAUGGCCUGUAUCUUGUACAAAGUCUGAGCUUUUUAACCACUGCACUUUGUAUACUGCCCUUUUGACAAGUCACUUCAGCUCUGACUUCAUGUCAAAUGGAGUUAAGACAACUUCCCACUUAUUCAUGAACUCAAGAGGAGCCUAUUGUCCUAUUCAGUAGGGUAACUAUUUGCAUUCUGGAAUAGGUGAUAUUUUCAUCGUGUGGAACUGAAGCAUCACAGCAGGUCUAAGCAUCCCAGACCUCCGGGCACUACAUGCCGGCUGCACAACGCACCCCCUUUGCUGAGAACUAAAGAUGCUCCCAUGGGAAAUGCCAGAUGCCCUCUAGGAGGAUGGGACUGGCCCAAGGCCCUUCUCUGGUCUCAGAAGUAAACACGUGGCUCAACCGAUCCCUGGAUUGUAAAUGAACAAUACAACAAAGGAAGAUGACACCAAACGAGGCUUUGCAGUCCCCAAACCCAGCAGCAACUGAGAAAGGCUUGGUUCCUCGUUAGGGCUCACCCCAAACCCCAAAGGAACUGCUUGAUCCAGAAGACGGAGAAGAUGAGCAACAGAGCAACACUGAGGAUGACAGCCAUCAGGCUUCCCAAGGACCUGACACCCCAGACAGGGCUCAGCGGAUCCCAACCUGGGAACGGGCGCCCCCUGACUGUGCUUUGUGCGUCAUCUGAAUUUGCUUUACUUCCAGCGACAUGAGGGUGGCAGGAACCGGCCCCCAGAAGGUUCAGGGUGUGAGUUGGCCCAGGCACAGUCAGGUGAGUGCCCACGCUUAUCCUGAAGGCUUUCCCCAGGUGAGCUCUGCCGGGAAGACAUUGGCAAAGAGUAGGCUGGGGCUGUUUGUACAAGGAAGUUCCAGGGAGUUUCCAGGAAGGCCUCAAAGGUCUUCUCCAGAUGAUAGGAGAGAAGGCUACUGGGCCAGGGUCCAUCUGCUCUUGUCAUGCUCGGCUGGCAACGGUGGCAAAGGGACACUCUCCCAGGGCUUUCAUAGUGCCUACAUCAGGAAGCCAGAGACCUCCCUCCUCUGGGUCUGCAGACUCUCAUUCUGCUCCCCCUCGGGCCUCCUGCUCUCCCCCUUUCUCUGUGGCCACACUCCCCCCCUCCUCUGUGCCCUCUCUCUAUCUUUACAGCUUCUCUCCCCUCAGGGGAGCUUACUCUUUAACUUUUAGUAUAAUAAAUGUCCAAUAUAGGAAAAUUAGGAAAUGUAGAUGAAUAUAAUAAUUCCUGACACUUAGAAACAGUGGUAGGAACUAUUCUGGGGGCUCCACCUGAAUUUUAUAAUUUAGCCUUGAUGGCAGCUCUGUGGGUAGGUGCCAUCAUCUUCUCCACUUUAUAAAUGAGGGCACUAAGCCACACAGAGGCUAAGUCAUUUGCCCAAGGUCACAGUGGCAGUGUGGGAUUUGAACCAGGUAGCCUGGUGCCAGAGACCUUCAGCCACCAGGCCACACUGCUCCCUAUAAGGAGAAAAUAAACUCACCUGAAAUCCUGUACACAGAGAUAAUCACCCACACAUUAGGAUGUAUAACUUUUCUGUCUCUUUAUAUUUUAAAUAUAGAAAAAUAUAUUUUUCAUAAGUUAUAAAAUGUCAUACUCUAUGUACUGUUUUAUAGCCUCUUUUUUUCACUUAUCAUCUUUCUACACCAUAAAAUAGUCUUCUACAGCCUUUUCUUCAAAAUGAAGGUAGUCUUAUUAUCUUUUGAUUGUAAAAGUGAUAGUAGGAAAAAACAUGUAUUUGCUUGCGUAUGCAUAAAAUGGCUCUAGGAUACACUAGUUGCUGGACAUGCUGGUUACCUGUAGAGGGAGCCCAAGGAAGGCAGACAGGGAUGAAAGGGAGAAUUUUUAUUGUGUAACCUUUGUACUCUUGAUCAUGGCUAUGUAAAUGUAUUAUCUAUUUCAAAAAUAAGUUUAAAAAUGAAACUCAUAUAUCCCUAUUGGAAAAAAACCAAACAAUAUA